Suricata suricatta (meerkat) is the source of this 855-nucleotide non-coding RNA. NCBI's taxonomy places the organism in Eukaryota, Metazoa, Chordata, Mammalia, Carnivora, Herpestidae. The record is from the annotation of a RefSeq genome assembly.
UAGGGGUGGUGAAAAAGACUCUUUUCUUCUAAUUGGUAGAACAAAUUUUUUUCUAAGAUUCCUAAAGCAGAAGACCUAGAAAUGUCUGAGCAAGACUCAUUUUUUUUUAGCACCUAAAAUUGGAGUCCUGAGUGAACCAGGGGAAGAAAGAAUAAUGAAGUGCUCGAGAGUUUUCCUAGUGAUCCUGUGGCUUCAGCUCACCUGGAUGAGGAGUCAGCAGAACGACGUGAAGCAGGAUUCUGUAUCUCUGACGGUUUUCGAGGGAAACACUGCCUCUCUGAGCUGUAAUUACAGUGACAGUGCUUCCCAGUACUUCACGUGGUACAGACAGUAUUCCGGGAAGGGCCCCGAGUUGCUGAUGUACAUGUACUCAGAUGGUGAAAAAGAAGAAGGAAGAUUUAAAGGGCUGCUCACUAAAGCAAGCCGAUCUGUCUCCCUGUUCAUCAGAGACUCCCAGCACAGUGACUCGGCUACCUACCUCUGUGCAGUGAGCACACAGUGCUCCCCUGGCCCCUGCUGCCUGUACCCAAACCCGCUGGGGCCCCAGCAAGGCCUGAUGUAGAGCCUAGGCUGCAGGGUAAAGAGAUUCUGCUUGCUCUCUAGAUGCAAAUGGGAAUUUAGAGCAUUCGCCAUAACCAUAGGAUGUCCUGUACCCACAGGCAGGGCAAGGGAGCACGGAAGGGGUUCAGAUUUCAUAAGAAGGAUCUCUGAGCAAGUACCUUAAAGGAUUCUAGACACUGAGGAGUUUUGUUAUGGUGAUCAAAGACCUGCAUGGAUCAAUUAUUGAAAACAUAUGGUAUUGAAGGGGGCACCUGGGUGGCUCAGUUGUUUAAGCAUCUGACUUUGUCUCAGGUC